RNAcentral lists this ribosomal RNA (461 nucleotides) under uncultured bacterium. Its description in RNAcentral is "partial 16S ribosomal RNA". It matches the Rfam family "Bacterial small subunit ribosomal RNA", at positions 334 to 795 of the family's 1533-position model. The record is from RNAcentral.
GACUACUGGGGGCAGCAGUGAGGAAUAUUGGUCAAUGGGCGAGAGCCUGAACCAGCCAAGUCGCGUGAAGGAUGAAGGAUCUAUGGUUUGUAAACUUCUUUUAUAUGGGAAUAAAGUGAGGAACGUGUUCCUUUUUGUAUGUACCAUAUGAAUAAGCAUCGGCUAACUCCGUGCCAGCAGCCGCGGUAAUACGGAGGAUGCGAGCGUUAUCCGGAUUUAUUGGGUUUAAAGGGUGCGUAGGUGGUUAAUUAAGUCAGCGGUGAAAGUUUGUGGCUCAACCAUAAAAUUGCCGUUGAAACUGGUUUUCUAGAGUUGGAGAGAAGUAUGCGGAAUUCGUGGUGUAGCGGUGAAAUGCAUAGAUAUCACGAAGAACUCCGAUUGCGAAGGCAGCAUACCGGCUCCAUACUGACGCUGAGGCACGAAAGCGUGGGGAUCGAACAGGAUUAGAUACACCUGUAGUC